GCAUUGGUGGUUCUGUGGUAGAAUUCUUGCCUUUAAUGCGGGAGACCUAGGUUUGAUUCCUGGCCAGUGCA
Molecule: transfer RNA, 71 nt
Filed under: Loxodonta africana (African savanna elephant)
Lineage: Eukaryota; Metazoa; Chordata; Mammalia; Proboscidea; Elephantidae
Description: tRNA-Sup (TTA) (tRNA-Sup-TTA-1-1)
Rfam family: tRNA
About the family: Transfer RNA (tRNA) molecules are approximately 80 nucleotides in length. Their secondary structure includes four short double-helical elements and three loops (D, anti-codon, and T loops). Further hydrogen bonds mediate the characteristic L-shaped molecular structure. tRNAs have two regions of fundamental functional importance: the anti-codon, which is responsible for specific mRNA codon recognition, and the 3' end, to which the tRNAs corresponding amino acid is attached (by aminoacyl-tRNA synthetases). tRNAs cope with the degeneracy of the genetic code in two manners: having more than one tRNA (with a specific anti-codon) for a particular amino acid; and 'wobble' base-pairing, i.e. permitting non-standard base-pairing at the 3rd anti-codon position.
Source: Rfam by way of RNAcentral